AACGACUCUCGGCAAUGGAUAUCUCGGCUCUCGCAUCGAUGAAGAAUGUAGCGAAAUGCGAUACUUGGUGUGAAUUGCAGAAUCCCGCGAACCAUCGAGUCUUUGAACGCAAGUUGCGCCCGAAGCCAUUAGGCCGAGGGCACGUCUGCCUGGGCGUCACGU
Molecule: ribosomal RNA, 162 nt
Filed under: Kalanchoe porphyrocalyx
Lineage: Eukaryota; Viridiplantae; Streptophyta; Magnoliopsida; Saxifragales; Crassulaceae
Description: 5.8S ribosomal RNA
Rfam family: 5.8S ribosomal RNA
About the family: 5.8S ribosomal RNA (5.8S rRNA) is a component of the large subunit of the eukaryotic ribosome. It is transcribed by RNA polymerase I as part of the 45S precursor that also contains 18S and 28S rRNA. Functionally, it is thought that 5.8S rRNA may be involved in ribosome translocation.
Source: RNAcentral